GACAGAGGCCUCAAGCGUUAGGCGGAAUCACUGGGCUUAAAGCGUGUGUAGGCGGAUCGUUAAGUGUCUUGUGAAAUCCCACGGCUCACCCGUGGAACGGCUGGGCAUACUGGCGAUCUUGGGCCAACUAGGGGCAACUGGAACAAGCGGUGGAGCGGUGAAAUGCGUAGAUAUCGUUUGGAACGCCAAUGGUGAAAACAGCUAGCUGGGGAUGUGCCGACGCUGAGACACGAAAGCCAGGGGAGCGAACGGG
Molecule: ribosomal RNA, 253 nt
Filed under: uncultured bacterium
Lineage: Bacteria
Description: partial 16S ribosomal RNA
Rfam family: Bacterial small subunit ribosomal RNA
Source: RNAcentral